This 49-nucleotide non-coding RNA is filed under the name Schistosoma mattheei. Lineage: Eukaryota; Metazoa; Platyhelminthes; Trematoda; Strigeidida; Schistosomatidae. The record is from RNAcentral.
AUCCAGCUGACGAGUUCCAAAUAGGAAGAAAACGCGCGUCAAACUGCAU